Molecule: long non-coding RNA, 2697 nt
Filed under: Panax ginseng (ginseng)
Lineage: Eukaryota; Viridiplantae; Streptophyta; Magnoliopsida; Apiales; Araliaceae
Description: long non-coding RNA (PGIN_LNC006368)
Source: RNAcentral
GAUCCUUUACUUACUCCUGAUUCUAAUUUGUUCAAUCUUCUCUCCCCUGUGGCCGCUGGUCAUCAGGCCUGUUUCUCUGACACUGAUGCCACUCCCUCUCCCAACCCACUUGUGGGUAAGCUUAAACUGAUCGAUGGGAAGGAAGUCAGGGAUCUUAAACACAAAGCUGCAGGAUCUCUUGACCUUGGUCAAGCUUCAAAGAAAAAGAUCAAAGGAGGGGGGAGUAAAAAGCCCCCAGCUUAACCCCAUUCCCUUUUUAUGAUAAAUUUUUGCUUUAUGAAUAUUAGAGGUGUAAAUAUAUCUCCAAAGCAGACUAGCGUCCAUGAUCUCAUAAGUAAGUAUAGAAUAUCACAGUUUGCUUCAUCUUGGGUUCGCAGCGGUGGUAUACCGUAUUUGGAAUGAGCGAAAUGCGCGGAUUUUCAGUCAUAAGUUUUGCUCUGUAUGAAACCUAGUCACUGACAUCCUUCACUUGCUCAAAUGUAAACUUCAUACAAAUGCAAGAUUCCAAAAAAUUAAGACUAGACAUGGUUUUAGGCAUCUUUCUUUAAAUAAUUCUUGAUCCUCUUGAGGUUUCUUUUUUAGAUGGGCCUGGAUCUGGUUUGUUUCUUUUGGCAGAAAAUUUAUGGGUAGCUGGCUGGCUGUAGUCUGGUUCUGCAGCUGUGGCUGGUUCCCAAUGUAUAGGCAGUUGGUGUGUGGGUAUCUCUCCGGCUGCUGUUUUAUGUAGACUGCUCAGUUCUGCUUCUGUUCAGUAACUGGCUAUGUCUGGUCAGGUUUUGUUGAAUGGGUGGCUGAUGGUUGCUGCUGGUUAUAGGCUCUCGGUAGCUUCCGGUUUGAAGUGUCUGAAUUGUGGGUUGCUGGGCCUGAUGGUUCUUUCUGGGUCUGCUUUGUGGGGCUCUUCUCAUCUCUGUUGCUCUGCUGAUCCUAUGUUGGGCUCUUCUGCUCUGGUGCUGUUUUGUUGGUUAGAUGCUGAGUUGGGCUCAUUGGGGUCAACUAGUUUGAAGUAGCAGGUUUUGAACCCCUAUCUUCUCGGCAGCUGCUGCUGCUCUUUUGGCUGGUUUGUGAUGCACCUGCUGCUCGUGUGGGGUGGUUCACACUGCACCUACAACAGUUGGGGACUUCACUGCAGCUACAGCUGCAGCUGCCUGCUGUGUUGCUGAGAUGCAACUUCUAUGUUGUUGCUGUGAUUCGAUGCUGCUAGUGAUGAGGUUGUGUUUGGUCCUGCUGACUGCUAUCUACUGUUGCUGUGGACUUGGCUCUGCUUGGUUAAGCUGUCUGCUACCUCCUGCUGCUGACUGCUACCUAUUGUCUAGUGUGGUUCUGCUGCUGGCUGCUACCUAUCUGGUGUGGUUUGCUGGCCUUGAAAUCUGCUUUGUAAAUCCUAGGAGUGUUCUGGUGCUUGUCUAUGUUGGUCUCUUACUGACUCUACAGUAAUAGGUGGGAUUGCUGUUCUGGGGUUGUUAUUGAUGUUUGGUUUAGGUCUGGUUGCUUCCUUUGCUGCUUUCUGCUGUAAUCUGUUGGCCUCUGCUGUGAGGUUUUGACUGUCUCGGGAUAUGGCUGUUCUAUUCUGGUUUGGCUGGAGCUAUGGUCCAUUUUCUGUGGGUUUCCAUUGCCUUUGUAUUCUGUCUCGGCUCUGCUGUAAGCAGAUAACCUCUGCUGGGCUUGUUACGUGCUUUAAGCAAUGUGUUGUUGGUGCUAUGAGUACUGUUGGGCUGCUUUUGGCUGGGUUCUGUAUUCUCUGCUGAUGGGUUUGCUAGUUUUGCAGAGGCUGGGGUUCAAUUUUAUGAUUGGUGCCUGUUAGAAUUGCAGUAAGUGGUUGAUUAUGAUCUGCUGUCCGACUCGCUGCUGCUCAAGCUGUGUUCGUGCUGUUAAACAUGGGCUGGACUGAUCUCGUUCUCGCUGCUGCUCAAGCUGUGUUCGCUGCUUCUCGCUGCUGCUCUGCUGUGUUCGUGCUGUUGAACAUGGGCUGGACUGAUCUCGUACUGCUACUCUGUGGCACCUUCUCGGCAGCUGUUUGGGCUGGAUUUGUUGCUGGCUAGGCUAAGCAGCAGCUGUUUGGGCUGGUCUCUAUGCUAAGCAGUUGUUUGGGCUGCUGUGGUACUGUUUCGUAUUGCUUCUGUCUCUAUGCUUUGGCUGCUGUGGUGCUAUGCAGCUAUUUGUAUUCCAACAGUGGUUGGUUUAGCUUUGUUGGGAAAGUGGUCUGCAAAGUGAUCCUGUGGUACUGCAGGCUGCAUUUUGGCGAUGGUUUCCUCCCAUACUGGUUGUAGCAGUCGCUCAAAUUGGUCUCAAGCAAAUUGUUGCUUGUUUAUUGUUGCUGCUUUGUUCCUGGUUAAAUCCUUGUUUGCUAGUAUCUAGUUUGGUUUACUGCAGCCAUCAUAGGGAUUGUCCAAUGAUGGCCAUGGUAUACUGUUUGGGGUUAUGACCCAUUUACUUUGUACUUAUUCUUUCUUUUAUUUCAGUCUAAAUUUAGCAAAAAAAAAGAAACAAGGGUUAAGUCUCCUAAGGCAAAUUCUGUUUCCAAGGCUAUUUGUAGAAAUUGGCAGUGGAAAUUUAACUAUGAGUAUCAUGCUAAUGGAAGAAUUUGGGUUGGAUGGGACCCAAAUAUCUGGAAUGUCAAUGUUAUUUCUUAGUCUGCUCAAUUUAUCCAUUGUUCUGUUUCUUCUGUUAAUUUUAGUUUUAAUGGUUUUGUUACUGUUGUCU